Molecule: transfer RNA, 75 nt
Filed under: Fidelibacterota bacterium
Lineage: Bacteria; Pseudomonadati; Fidelibacterota
Description: tRNA-Pro
Rfam family: tRNA
About the family: Transfer RNA (tRNA) molecules are approximately 80 nucleotides in length. Their secondary structure includes four short double-helical elements and three loops (D, anti-codon, and T loops).
Source: RNAcentral
CGGGGUGCGGCGCAGUCCGGUUAGCGCACCUGCUUUGGGAGCAGGGGGUCGGAGGUUCGAAUCCUCUCACCCCGA